Molecule: ribosomal RNA, 462 nt
Filed under: uncultured bacterium
Lineage: Bacteria
Description: partial 16S ribosomal RNA
Rfam family: Bacterial small subunit ribosomal RNA
Source: RNAcentral
GACGAACGCUGGCGGCGUGCUUAACACAUGCAAGUCGAACGGAAAGGCCCUUCGUGGUUCUCGUGUGGCAAACGGGUGCGUAACACGUGGGUGAUCGGCCCUGCACUUUGGGCUAAGCCUGGCUAAUUGGGACUAAAACCGAUAAGGAAUACGCGCUGCAUUGGGAGUGCAUUUAAGCUGUUGCGGUGUUGGAUGGGCUUGCGGCCUAUCAGCUUGUUGGUGGGGUAAUUGCCUACCAAGGCGACGACGGGUAGCCGGCCUGAGAGGGUGACCGGCCACACAGGGACUGGGAAACGACCAAGAGGCAUACGGGAGGAAGCGGUGGGAGAUAGUGCAAAAAGGGCGGAAGCCGGGUGGAGCGACGUCGGGUGAGGAAUGACGGCCGUCGGGUUGGAAACAGCGUGCAAGAGGGACGAAGAGCAAGUGACGGUACCUAUAGAGGAAGCACCGGCCAACUACGUG